GCUGAAGGAGGGCAGAUUGAGGUUGGAUGUGAGGGGGAAGUUGUUGACAGAGAGAGUGGGGAGGUGCUGGAACAGCUGCCCAGAGAGGCUGUGGAUGCCCCGUCCAUCCGUGGAGGUGUUGAAGGCCAGGUUGGAUGGGGCCCUGGGCAGCCUGGGCUGGUAUUGAGUGUGGAGUUUGGUGGCCCUGUGUGUGUGGGGGGGGUUGGAGCUUCAUGAUCCUUGAGGUCCCUUCCAACCCAG
This 240-nucleotide long non-coding RNA is filed under the name Gallus gallus (chicken). Lineage: Eukaryota; Metazoa; Chordata; Aves; Galliformes; Phasianidae. The record is from RNAcentral.